AACGAAACGCUGGCGGCAGGGCCUAACACAUGCAAGUCGAACGCCCUAGCAAUAGGGAGUGGCAGACGGGUGAGUAACGCGUGGGAACCUUCCCUAUAGUACGGAAUAUACCAGGGAAACUUGGAGCAAUACCGUAUACGCCCGCAAGGGGAAAGAUUUAUCGCUAUAGGAUGGGCCCGCGUAGGAUUAGCUAGUUGGUGAGGUAAUGGCUCACCAAGGCGACGAUCCUUAGCUGGUCUGAGAGGAUGAUCAGCCACACUGGGACUGAGACACGGCCCAGACUCCUACGGGAGGCAGCAGUGGGGAAUAUUGGGCAAUGGGCGCAAGCCUGACCCAGCCAUGCCGCGUGAGUGACGACGGCCUUAGGGUUGUAAAGCUCUUUUGGCGGGGACGAUAAUGACGGUACCCGCAGAAUAAGCCCCGGCUAACUUCGUG
RNAcentral lists this ribosomal RNA (435 nucleotides) under uncultured bacterium. RNAcentral's name for it is "bacterial SSU rRNA". It matches the Rfam family "Bacterial small subunit ribosomal RNA", at positions 32 to 507 of the family's 1533-position model. The record is from RNAcentral.